UUCCGGUUGAUCCUGCCGGAAGCCAUUGCUAUCGGAGUUCGAUUUAGCCAUGCUAGUCGCACGGGUUUAGACCCGUGGCGAAAAGCUCAGUAACACGUGGCCAAACUACCCUAUGGAUCAGAAUAACCUCGGGAAACUGAGGACAAUUCUGAAUACCGCUCCUGCACUGGGAUGUGCGGAGCUCGAAACGCUACGGCGCCAUAGGAUGUGGCUGCGGCCGAUUAGGUUGGCGGUGGGGUAACGGCCCACCGUGCCCAUAAUCGGUACGGGUUGUGAGAGCAAGAGCCCGGAGACGGUAUCUGAGACAAGAUACCGGGCCCUACGGGGCGCAGCAGGCGCGAAACCUUUACACUGCACGACAGUGCGAUAAGGGAACUCCGAGUGCGAGGGCAUAGAGCCCUCGCUUUUGUACACCGUAAGGUGGUGCACGAAUAAGGGCUGGACAAGACCGGAGCCAGCCGCCGCGGUAAUACCGGCAGCCCAAGUGAUGGCCGAUAUUAUUGGGCCUAAAGCGUCCGUAGCUGGCCGGACAAGUCCGUUGGGAAAUCCGCGCGCUCAACGCGCGGGCGUCCAGCGGAAACUGUCCGGCUUGGGGCCGGAAGACCUGAGGGGUACGUCCGGGGUAGGAGUGAAAUCCUGUAAUCUCGGACGGACCGCCUGUGGCGAAAGCGCCUCAGGAAGACGGACCCGACAGUGAGGGACGAAAGCCAGGGUCUCGAACCGGAUUAGAUACCCGGGUAGUCCUGGCUGUAAACGAUGUCCGCUAGGUGUGACGCAGGCUACGGGCCUGCGCUGUGCCGUAGGGAAGCCGUGAAGCGGACCGCCUGGGAGGUACGUCUGCAAGGAUGAAACUUAAAGGAAUUGGCGGGGGAGCACUACAACCGGAGGAGCCUGCGGUUUAAUUGGAUUCAACGCCGGA
This 919-nucleotide ribosomal RNA is filed under the name uncultured archaeon. RNAcentral describes it as "bacterial SSU rRNA". It matches the Rfam family "Archaeal small subunit ribosomal RNA", at positions 1 to 922 of the family's 1478-position model. The record is from RNAcentral.